GCUGGGCAUGGUGGUGUGUGCCUGUAAUCCCAGCUACUUGGGAGGCUGAGGCAGGAGAAUCGCUUGAACCGGGGAGUCGGAGGUUGCAGUGAGCCGAGAUCGCGCCACUGCAGUCCAGUCUGGUGACAGAGCGAGACUCUGUCUCAA
Non-coding RNA from Gorilla gorilla gorilla (western lowland gorilla), 147 nucleotides. It matches the Rfam family "Metazoan signal recognition particle RNA". From Rfam's summary of the family: The signal recognition particle (SRP) is a universally conserved ribonucleoprotein. Lineage: Eukaryota; Metazoa; Chordata; Mammalia; Primates; Hominidae. The record is from Rfam.